CUUCCGCCUUGGGAGGUCGCUUCCUGUUAGGUGCCGGAAGGGGCGGGUCACCGGAGCGUGGGGGAGGAGUCUAGAGCUACGGCACGCAAGACGCAAACAACCUGGAGCCUGGCGGCGACGGCGGCGGCCUGGAGCCGAGGCCGGGCGAGGUGUCAGGGGUCCGACUUUCGGAUUUUUUUCCCUGGAGCCGCGUUUCCAACGUGGAAUUCCUCGGCCGGAAGGGUUUUCCAGGCCUGUGUUAACCCUAACUCGGCCAGUGGAUGAACGAGUUGGGCUGUGGAACCCCGUGUAAACCGGGGCGUUGUUAGAGACAGAAGACGGCGCCUGGCGAGGACUCCCCUCAGAAGCCCGGUGACUCUCCGCGGCGGAUGGAAUAAGGCACCAGGCGGCCGCAUCAUCCGUCAGCAGGCUGGGCCCUGUGCGCGCCCCUGUCCGGUCCUCGCCGCUAGGUGGCGCCGCAGGAGCUGCCCCUUUCACUCCUGCCGAGGCCCGGAUUAUUUGAGAUUCCCAGAAGUCACCGUCUCAAGAAACCCCGAGAAGGAUGGCAACAGAAUGAGUGGAUAGGUCAAGAUCGCUCAUCAUGUCCUUGGCAGACAUUGUCACGUUGUGAAGGUGAGUGGGAGAAGAAGGCCCGGUUGGAGGCAGGCGGGGGCCCCCCGGAGCAGGCCAGGAUACGCGCCUCUCCAGGGUGGGCGGCUCAUCGCAGUCUCGGGUGGCUAGUGGAUAUUGGAAAGUUCCAAAAAAUGUUUAGUUUUCCCCGGUGUUUUGUUUCAAUCGGGUUCAAAAUGUCCCACGUGAGAAACGAAAGGGGGAUUGGCCACACGGCCCCACCGCACCCCGCGUGCGUCCUCUCCGUGGUGCUCGGAGAGAACUGGGAGCCCUUCACUGCCUGGGCCGGGGGGACGCCAGGGGCUCAGCCGGCUCCAGCGCGCUUCCGGCAUCAGGACAACCGGGACGGGGCGGCACUGUGUCGAGCGGCCCUCGGAACCCCGGCCCGGACGGGGCUGUGCUCACGCGGCCGGGGGUGUUUACCAUCACGGGCUUCACUGCUAGCUUGCGCGUGUGAGCUGUCGCACCCAUAUUUCCACGUAGGGACAGAGAAGCAUGGUUUCUCUAUUUUGGGUAGCUCCUUUUAAAUCAUGCGGUGUUUCAGGGAGAGACACUUUGGAACGUCAGAAAUUUAAAAUGCAGAGUGCUGUAACACGGCUCUUAGCGCCUCGUGUGCUGAGAGCAUGUCUCUUGAGAGUUACGUGGGCCCGGCUUUUGUGGCAAUGAAUCCCAAUCGUCUGUUUGUCGCAGGCAGAAAACAACACGGAGCCCACAGCGCCGGGAGCGGCAGGGCUGGUGGCACGACCUUGAAGCGGGAGAAGGCGUCUUUUGCGUUCGGGACUUGUCACUAUUUUAAGCACAAUGGUGACAUCUGGUAUCGCUUACAUGUUGUCUCUUUCAAGCGGUAACCGUUUUUCCCUCUGAAUGCAGGCAGCGUCUGGUUCCGAAGGCCUUUUCCAGAAUUUCUGGUUGCCACGGGCUUUCGUUUGGAUGGUUUGGACUGGCUCAAGCCGUCCGCCUGGCCUCUGGGUCACUGCUUACGCUCCGUGCUAGCCGGGACCCCUUUCAUCCAGAUCUACUGGAUGAUAAUGUCCCUUGAUCCAAGAUCCUUAACUAGGGAUCACCCAGGAGAGAGGCAAAAAGCUGAGCCGGCCCCUCCUGCUGUUUCCAAGCAGCGAGCGAGCCUGCUGCGCCAUGUCUGGCCCAUCGUCCUGCAGGGUGGGCUGUGCCGGCGGCCCUGCGAGCCUCCCCACCGAGCACCGGGGACCCCCCUGCGCCCAGACCGUGGGACGCCCAGAGCCUCCUACGUUCGGGGGCUCGAGAAAGACCAGCGGAAGCAAAAGGCCCACUUUAAAAAACACACAAAGGGCUUAACGGACAUUUUCCGAAAGGAGAGACACAGACGGCCAGCGGGCCCCCGAAAAAAACUCCUCGCAGAACGUGGGUCACAGCCACCCCGAGGUACCGUUUCACACCCACUGUGGUGAUGACAAGAAAACGCGAAAUAACGAGUUCUGGCGGGACGGGAAACGGCGCGGCCGCUGUGGAAAACGGCGUGGUGGUUCCUCAGCACGUGGAACGUGGAGUCACCGUAUGGCCCGCGAUCCCGCUCCCGGGUGCACGUCCAAGGCCACCGAGAGCAGGGGUCUGAACGGAUCGCCGUACGCCCAGGCUCGUAGCAGGUCUAUUCACAGCAGCCAAAGCUUCAGACGACAUGAGUGUCUCUAGACGGACAGAUGGCUGGGCACACGUGCCCUGUCCACGCAGGGGAGGGGAGAGGGUGGCUGUGGAGGCGGAGCCCAGGACCGGCCUUUCUCCGCAAGGUCUCCGGGGCCAAGAGCUGCCAGCUGGCGUCUCGGAGGAGACCCCCCCCGCCCCCCAGGCCAGGAGGAGGCUCGGGGGCAUAAACACAAGCACGUCUUGGCCUCGUGUUCAGUGACAGGGUGUUCAGGGAGCCGCAGGACAGUCUGAAGGCUUCACACGAGGCAGUUCUCCGGGCAGGAUGCGGGGCUGCUGGGGCCCUUCCCAGCAGGAUCCCCGGAGAACUCCAAGUUCGGUCUCUACAUUUUCAUUAAGAGCUUCCACCCGGGGAGAAUGAUGGAUUAGAUUUUGCUGUUGGAAAGAAGCCAGAUAAAAUUAGAUGCCUCUCGGCUCCCCACCACACACCCCUUGCCCCUGUUCUUUUCUGAAAGCUUUACUUUUCUCUCUCGGUUCCUGGCAGGAAGGAACCGAGCGGGUACGGUCGCUUCCUUGAGCCUCCCUGCUUUAAUUUCCAGUGUGAUUUCGCUGUUGCUCUAAUUUUCUUCUGUUCUGGAACAGCUUUGGGCCUUGGGCUCUGCAUUGGGGGGGGUGUGUGCGCGUGUGGUUUCUGUUUUCUUUUCAGGAAGCUUGUUAGAAUUUAUAGCUGGAAACGGAGAGAAUACUCUGCCUCACAAAAGAAAUUCACCUGAUUCCUCACGUCUUGUCUCUUCUCUCCAAGUUCUCGUUCUUGGCCAAGCUAACCUGCCGUCUCAUCCACCUACAUAGAAUCGGGUUUGCCUCCCAGCCAGCCACUUUGUAGCAAAGCCGGGUUCUGACGGUCUGCUGUCUUCUGUUACCGUGCGCCGACAGUGGAUUUCAAGAAGAGCCGUUGUGUUUUCCCAGUGCAGGAAAGGAAACACUCGGGUUCCAUCUGUCCAGAGGAGCUGAGAGCGCAUGGGUGGCACACCUCCAGGGACAGACUGUGAGGCGGUCGCCGGUUGCAGAGGGUGCUGGAGCCGGGCGUGGGUGCCAUUCACGUGGGCGUUGUUUUCUUGAGGUCGAACCCUGUGGAAUUUAGCGGAGACCUCGAGCGGAUUCGAACAGCCUCAGCCCCCACGUCCUGGGUCUGAAAUCAACCGUGUGGGAGGAGCCGCCCCGGCAGAGCUGCGUGCCCGCCGUGCAGCCGUGUACCUGCUCCCGCACCCUGACCAGAACGUUCCCCUUGUGCGUGCAGGCAGCCCACGCUCAGGGGCACGCCACGGUCCGAAGGGCCGGUCAUCCAGGACCCGGCGUUCCCAGCGACGAGAGCCUCACGGGUCUCUCCAGGCCUUUUUCUGGGCCGCCAGUGUGGACAUGGCAGACACACAGACGCACAGACACGGCCUGAGAGGGUCUUCCUUCCUUCCAGUCCUGCCCUGAGUUCCCGCGCUGUCCCGCAGGGGCACCCCGGGCAGCUGAAAGCAGCUUAAUGGACAGUUUUGUUGGUUUGGUGAUGCCAUCUCAUGACGACAUUACCCAAAUCCCUUGGAACAUUUUUGGGACUGUGGAUUCAGGGGCCUGGACCAAGGGACUCGGCAAGGGAGGUGUGAUCUGCCUGCUGCCCCUCGGGCUUGGGACCGGACCUCAGAGCCACCGUCGGGUCACGGCGGCCAUUCCCAUGGCUGUGCUGGUGCCCCCUGGGCCAGCGGUGGCCGUGUGCGAUUUUGUCAGUCGUUUCCUUCUUUAAAAAAGAUUUUUUUUUAAUCUUUGAGAGAGAGACAGAGUGUGAGCAGGGGAGGGGCAGAGAGAGGGGGAGACACAGAA
Herpailurus yagouaroundi (jaguarundi) is the source of this 4092-nucleotide long non-coding RNA. RefSeq lists it as uncharacterized. The transcript is spliced from 4 exons. NCBI's taxonomy places the organism in Eukaryota, Metazoa, Chordata, Mammalia, Carnivora, Felidae. The record is from RefSeq and is a predicted model, not a curated record.